Molecule: ribosomal RNA, 669 nt
Filed under: Salmonella enterica subsp. enterica serovar Schwarzengrund
Lineage: Bacteria; Pseudomonadati; Pseudomonadota; Gammaproteobacteria; Enterobacterales; Enterobacteriaceae
Description: partial 23S ribosomal RNA
Rfam family: Bacterial large subunit ribosomal RNA
Source: RNAcentral
UUUGAAGUGUGGACGCCAGUCUGCAUGGAGCCGGCCUUGAAAUACCACCCUUUAAUGUUUGAUGUUCUAACGUGGACCCGUGAUCCGGGUUGCGGACAGUGUCUGGUGGGUAGUUUGACUGGGGCGGUCUCCUCCUAAAGAGUAACGGAGGAGCACGAAGGUUGGCUAAUCCUGGUCGGACAUCAGGAGGUUAGUGCAAUGGCAUAAGCCAGCUUGACUGCGAGCGUGACGGCGCGAGCAGGUGCGAAAGCAGGUCAUAGUGAUCCGGUGGUUCUGAAUGGAAGGGCCAUCGCUCAACGGAUAAAAGGUACUCCGGGGAUAACAGGCUGAUACCGCCCAAGAGUUCAUAUCGACGGCGGUGUUUGGCACCUCGAUGUCGGCUCAUCACAUCCUGGGGCUGAAGUAGGUCCCAAGGGUAUGGCUGUUCGCCAUUUAAAGUGGUACGCGAGCUGGGUUUAGAACGUCGUGAGACAGUUCGGUCCCUAUCUGCCGUGGGCGCUGGAGAACUGAGGGGGGCUGCUCCUAGUACGAGAGGACCGGAGUGGACGCAUCACUGGUGUUCGGGUUGUCAUGCCAAUGGCACUGCCCGGUAGCUAAAUGCGGAAGAGAUAAGUGCUGAAAGCAUCUAAGCACGAAACUUGCCCCGAGAUGAGUUCUCCCUGAGACUUA